CACGUAAGGGGCGAGCGUUGUUCGGAAUUAUUGGGCGUAAAGGGUACGUAGGCGGUUUGGUAAGCCCGGCGUGAAAUCCUGCAGCUUAACUGUAGAGCUGCGCUGGGAACUGCGAAACUUGAGUCAUGGAAGGGGAGUUAGAAUUCCAGGUGUAGGGGUGAAAUCUGUAGAUAUCUGGAAGAAUACCGGUGGCGAAGGCGAACUCCUGGCCAAUGACUGACGCUGAGGUACGAAAGUGCGGGGAGCAAAC
This 250-nucleotide ribosomal RNA is filed under the name uncultured bacterium. RNAcentral describes it as "partial 16S ribosomal RNA". It matches the Rfam family "Bacterial small subunit ribosomal RNA", at positions 524 to 773 of the family's 1533-position model. The record is from RNAcentral.